GAUGAACGCUGGCGGCGUGCCUAAUACAUGCAAGUCGAGCGAACGGAUGAGGAGCUUGCUCCUUUGACGUUAGCGGCGGACGGGUGAGUAACACGUGGAUAACCUACCUAUAAGACUGGGAUAACUUCGGGAAACCGGAGCUAAUACCGGAUAAUAUUUCGAACCGCAUGGUUCAAAAGUGAAAGACGGUCUUGCUGUCACUUAUAGAUGGACCCGCGCUGCAUUAGCUAGUUGGUAAGGUAACGGCUUACCAAGGCAACGAUGCGUAGCCGACCUGAGAGGGUGAUCGGCCACACUGGAACUGAGACACGGUCCAGACUCCUACGGGAGGCAGCAGUAGGGAAUCUUCCGCAAUGGGCGAAAGCCUGACGGAGCAACGCCGCGUGAGUGAUGAAGGUCUUCGGAUCGUAAAACUCUGUUAUUAGGGAAGAACAUAUGUGUAAGUAACUGUGCACGUCUUGACGGUACCUAAUCAGAAAGCCACGGCUAACUACGUG
RNAcentral lists this ribosomal RNA (497 nucleotides) under uncultured bacterium. RNAcentral describes it as "partial 16S ribosomal RNA". It matches the Rfam family "Bacterial small subunit ribosomal RNA", at positions 28 to 507 of the family's 1533-position model. The record is from RNAcentral.